GCUCUGUCUAGACCCUUCAGCUCCUAUGGGUGUGUGGAGCGCGCUGGGGAAAUGGGUUUUCCACUCUAAUCAAAUGCCAAGGUGCUAUGAGUCAGAGGCAGCGCUACGUGCUGAUCCUCACCACUGAUGGUGCUGCCAGUUUCACAAGAACAAUUCAAACAUGGUUUUAUCAACGUGUUUUUUUACUAUGUUUUUGUACUUGCUGAGUGAUAAUAAUUGCUAAAAUACGGGAUUAUUCAAUGAUAAACCACUGUAACUCUAAGAGGUAAAUGAAACCUCUACUUUUGUACACUGCCGCAUAGGCCUACAGACUGACCCUGGAGCCCCCUGCCCUACUUAUAUUUUGUGUGUGUGUGUGUGUGUGUGUGUGUGUGUGUGUGUGUGUGUGUGUGUGUGUGUGUGUGUGUGUGUGUGUGUGUGUGUGUGUGUGUGUGUGUGUGUGUGUGUGUGUGUGUGUGUGUGCUUUGUGUGAUUGCGAUGCUUUUCAUAAGCUAGGUCAGGUGUUGUAGAGACGCAAAGACUGACAACGUGCAGGAUUGAGAAGCCCUAAGUCUCUCCUGACAGAUAUCCACAUUAUCCAGGAAAACGCCAGCUAACCAUAUCCAGCCUGGCUUGGACUUGACUGAUCUGGCUGAUAAUUGUUAUUUUUACAAAGAUCUAAUAUAUUCCAUAUUAAUAUACACAUUUUGUUGCAUUAUGAAUAAUGCCUUAUUUUUCACAGUUGUCAAUAUUCUAAAUUUGUUUUAAGGUUCUGUAAGUCACUUUGGGGGUCAUUUUAAAUACUAUUUUAAAUACUACAACCUUAAAACUUGCAUAAUUUAACUAUUUCCAGCCUGGCUUGCUCUAGAAAACUCUGACUUACUGAGCCUCUCCUCGCAGAUAUCUCCCUUAUCCAGGGACCUCCACCUGGAAGUGUGGCCCCCUGGGGCCAGCCUGAGUCUGCCCCUCUCAGCGCUCAGCUCCAGGCUGUGGUUCAGACUCAGGAGCCUCUGGUUCUCGCAGCCCCACUGGAGGUUCUCUCCGCCGUCGCAGGCCACGGUGAGAACCGGGUGCUCCUGGAACGCCGAGAGGCAGCGCUGCGUGCCGAUGUUCCACAGGAAGCGCUGAUCCUGCCACGCCCACUGCUGGAGGUCAUCGUCAAGGUUACACUUUCGGAGGGUGACAGCAGUGCCUGCUGGGGAGUCUUGUAAACAGAGGCUUUCAACGGUGUUGUGGAUCAUGAAGCCACUUGCCCCUUAAAUGAACACACAAACAACGGUUGAGAACGAAAUAUAGACUCAGAUAGAUCAAUGUAACUGUUGUGAGUCACACUGUCACACAGUACCACAGUUCAGGCUCAUCUCAAGUGAGUAGGUUUACACAACCUUAAAAUGAAGUAAUUUAUUUUGACAAAAAUGUAAGGAAAUUGAAUAACAGGACAAAAGAAACAUUUAAAAAAUCAGCACAUAUGCAAAAUAGCACAAAAUAGUUGAAUGAAUUGAUUUCCAAGAGAUCUAAUAUCAAACUAUCCUCAUUCUAACACUGACGUUGACUGACAGACUUACCAUGCAAGAGGAAGCACAGUGCCACCCAGAACAGAUGCAUCACUCCCAACAGGCAAAGACUCAUUUAACCUUUAAAAUAAAACAACAUUACAACGAGCCCAAACAUCACUUCUGCCACAUCACUAUUAGAUUCAAGUAGCUUUAAGCCUGUCCUGUUCAAAUGUGUUUAGUCCCAUCCUGAUGUAGGAAGUUACUGUGUGUUCCACACCGAUCCUAAGGGUCUGUGCAGAUCUCUGUCUGUCUGUGUCUGUCUUUCACCUAGGUGUGUGAAGAGUGUUUAUCUGUGCAAAACUCUGUCUGUGUCUGUCUCUCACUUAGGUGUGUGAAGAGAGUUUGUCUGUGCAGAACUCUGCCUGUGUCUGUGCCUCACCUCUGUGUGUGAAGAGUGUUCGUCGUUACGGUGUGUGUUUGAAACAUGAUGUAAUGAGAUACAGUGCAGCUGUGUGAGGACGUGUUGGAGUCUGUGCCUGCGCUAACAGGAAUCCCUGUCAUAUUCUGCAGCCUCUG
Molecule: long non-coding RNA, 2051 nt
Organism: Clupea harengus (Atlantic herring)
Lineage: Eukaryota; Metazoa; Chordata; Actinopteri; Clupeiformes; Clupeidae
Source: Ensembl